This 812-nucleotide unclassified non-coding RNA is filed under the name Hevea brasiliensis (rubber tree). The record is from RNAcentral. Lineage: Eukaryota; Viridiplantae; Streptophyta; Magnoliopsida; Malpighiales; Euphorbiaceae.
GCCAAGACUUCCCCUUCAAAAAACCUGUCACAAUCAAUUCCACCGGAAUUAAAACACAAUCAGUAAGAUGUAGGGAAACAAAAAUUAGAAAACACACGUCAACCUAACAGAGUAUUACUAUUGAUCAAUACAAAACAUCAAUAUACAAUGCAUUAUGCAGAUCUGUCAAAUGUCAAGAAGAAAGUAUUGCAUAUACCUCAGUAGUUCAGAGACUGGGUAAUCAAGUUUCCUGAUCACCUCAAUAAGUAAGCACAAUGUAUCAGUGUAGAACAUAGGUAGCUCCUCAAACUGCCAGGUAUAACCUGACAAUUACUAAUCCAAAGCACUAAGACUACUACACCAUCGAAAACAUAUUCAUAGGCCUUCUCAAAAAAGAAGAUGAAAAACAUAUUCAUAGAUAGUUUGACACAUCAAGACUUGACUUGAUGCAUUGUACAUGCCACUAAGGACAAAAGUGGAUUCACUAAUUAUCUGCCCCUUGCCAAUGCAGAGUCAAGGGAAAAUGAUACAUCAACCAUGUUUCAAAAAUACGUUUACAUAGUCCAAUUUUCAAUUUCUCUCUCCAAAGGAACAUGUGGAAAACAUGUUUUACCUGCUGAAAAGAGAUGAGUAGUUUUCAGAGUUGAGAAAAAGAAAUUAACUCAACUAACAAACGUAUUUUACAAACAGUCUUUUCUCGUUUAUGCAAAAAUUUCUGAUUAUAUUUUAUAAGUUUUAAUGUUUUAUUACCUUGUAAAAUGACAAAUUCAAGUGACAACAACAGAACUUGUGAAGAAGUUAUUCAAAUCAGAACAUAAUAAUAAUAAUAAUAA